UGAGCACCAGCUUGCUGGUGUGGAUUAGUGGCGAACGGGUGAGUAACACGUGAGUAACCUGCCCCUCACUCUGGGAUAAGCCUGGGAAACUGGGUCUAAUACUGGAUACGACCGAUCUCCGCAUGGAGUGUUGGUGGAAAGUUUUUGUGGUGGGGGAUGGACUCGCGGCCUAUCAGCUUGUUGGUGGGGUAAUGGCCUACCAAGGCGACGACGGGUAGCCGGCCUGAGAGGGCGACCGGCCACACUGGGACUGAGACACGGCCCAGACUCCUACGGGAGGCAGCAGUGGGGAAUAUUGCACAAUGGGCGAAAGCCUGAUGCAGCGACGCCGCGUGAGGGAUGACGGCCUUCGGGUUGUAAACCUCUUUCACCAGGGACGAAGCUAACGUGACGGUACCUGGAGAAGAAGCACCGGCUAACUACGUGCCAGCAGCCGCGGUAAUACGUAGGGUGCGAGCGUUGUCCGGAAUUAUUGGGCGUAAAGAGCUUGUAGGCGGUUUGUCGCGUCUGCUGUGAAAGACCGGGGCUUAACUCCGGUUCUGCAGUGGGUACGGGCAGACUAGAGUGUGGUAGGGGAGACUGGAAUUCCUGGUGUAGCGGUGAAAUGCGCAGAUAUCANGAGGAACACCGAUGGCGAAGGCAGGUCUCUGGGCCAUUACUGACGCUGAGAAGCGAAAGCAUGGGGAGCGAACAGGAUUAGAUACCCUGGUAGUCCAUGCCGUAAACGUUGGGCGCUAGGUGUGGGACUCAUUCCACGAGUUUCCGUGCCGCAGCUAACGCAU
Molecule: ribosomal RNA, 782 nt
Filed under: Dermacoccus sp.
Lineage: Bacteria; Bacillati; Actinomycetota; Actinomycetes; Micrococcales; Dermacoccaceae
Description: bacterial SSU rRNA
Rfam family: Bacterial small subunit ribosomal RNA
Source: RNAcentral